AACGAACGCUGGCGGCAGGCCUAACACAUGCAAGUCGAGCGCCCCGCAAGGGGAGCGGCGGACGGGUGAGUAACGCGUGGGAACGUACCCUUUGCUACGGAAUAGCCUCGGGAAACUGGGAGUAAUACCGUAUGUGCCCUUUGGGGGAAAGAUUUAUCGGCAAAGGAUCGGCCCGCGUUGGAUUAGGUAGUUGGUGGGUAAUGGCCUACCAAGCCGACGAUCCAUAGCUGGUUUGAGAGGAUGAUCAGCCACACUGGGACUGAGACACGGCCCAGACUCCUACGGGAGGCAGCAGUGGGGAAUCUUAGACAAAUGGGCGCAAGCCUGAUCUAGCCAUGCCGCGUGAGCGAUGAAGGCCUUAGGGUUGUAAAGCUCUUUCAUGGGGAAGAUAAUGACUGUACCCACAGAAGAAGCCCCGGCUAAACUCCGUGCCAGCAGCCGCGGUAAAAAUCACGUGUA
RNAcentral lists this ribosomal RNA (459 nucleotides) under uncultured bacterium. RNAcentral's name for it is "bacterial SSU rRNA". It matches the Rfam family "Bacterial small subunit ribosomal RNA", at positions 29 to 531 of the family's 1533-position model. The record is from RNAcentral.